CCUACGGGUGGCAGCAGUGGGGGCUAUUGCACACUGGGGGAAACCCUGAUGCAGCGACGCCGCGUGUAGGAAGAAGGUCCUCUGGAUUGUAAACUACUGUCCCCAGGGACGAAGAUGACGGUACCUGGGGAGGAAGCUCCGGCUAACUACGUGCCAGCAGCCGCGGUAAUACGUAGGGAGCGAGCGUUGUCCGGAAUUACUGGGUGUAAAGGGUGCGUAGGCGGGGAUGCAAGUUGGGUGUUAAAUCUACCGGCUCAACUGGUAGUCGCAUUCAAAACUGCAGCACUUGAGUGAAGUAGAGGCAGGCGGAAUUCCUAGUGUAGCGGUGAAAUGCGUAGAUAUUAGGAGGAACACCAGUGGCGAAGGCGGCCUGCUGGGCUUUUACUGACGCUGAGGCUCGAAAGUGUGGGGAGCAAACAGGAUUAGAUACCCUGGUAGUC
This 440-nucleotide ribosomal RNA is filed under the name uncultured bacterium. Its description in RNAcentral is "partial 16S ribosomal RNA". It matches the Rfam family "Bacterial small subunit ribosomal RNA", at positions 338 to 795 of the family's 1533-position model. The record is from RNAcentral.